Molecule: ribosomal RNA, 443 nt
Filed under: uncultured bacterium
Lineage: Bacteria
Description: partial 16S ribosomal RNA
Rfam family: Bacterial small subunit ribosomal RNA
Source: RNAcentral
CCUACGGGGGACAGCAGUGGGGAAUAUUGGUCAAUGGGCGCAAGCCUGACCCAGCAACGCCGCGUGAAGGAAGAAGGCUUUCGGGUUUUAAACUUCUUUUAUUGAAGACGUAACAAAUGACGGUACUCAAUUAAUAAGCCACGGCUAACUACGUGCCAGCAGCCGCUGUAAUACGUAGGUGGCAAGCGUUAUCCGGAUUUACUGGGUGUAAAGGGCGUGUAGGCGGGACUGCAAGUCAGAUGUGAAAACCAUGGGCUCAACCCAUGAACUGCAUUUGAAACUGUAGUUCUUGAGUGAUGGGGAGGUAGGCGGAAUUCCGUGUGUAGCGGUGAAAUGCGUAGAUAUAAGGAGGAACACCAGUGGCGAAGGCAGCCUGCUGGACAUUAACUGACGCUGAGGCGCGAAAGCGUGGGGAGCAAACAGGAUUAGAUACCCUUGUAGUC